Molecule: ribosomal RNA, 442 nt
Filed under: uncultured bacterium
Lineage: Bacteria
Description: partial 16S ribosomal RNA
Rfam family: Bacterial small subunit ribosomal RNA
Source: RNAcentral
CCUACGGGUGGCAGCAGUAGGGAAUCUUUCACAAUGGGCGAAAGCCUGAUGGAGCAACGCCGCGUGCAGGAUGAAGGCCUUCGGGUUGUAAACUGCUUUUAUAAGCGAGAAAUAUGAUGGUAACUUUUGCAUAAGGAUCGGCUAACUACGUGCCAGCAGCCGCGGUCAUACGUAGGUUCCGAGCAUUAUCCGGAGUGACUGGGUGUAAAGAGUUGCGUAGGUGGGAUAAUAAGUAGCUAGGGAAAUCUGGUGGCUUAACCAUUCAGACUAUUUGCGAAACUGUUAAGCUCGAGACCGUUAGGGGUAACUGGAAUUUCUAGUGUAGGAGUGAAAUCCGUAGAUAUUAGAAGGAACACCAAUAGCGUAGGCAGGUUGCUGGGACGGUUCUGACACUAAGGCACGAAAGCGUAGGGAGCAAACGGGAUUAGAUACCCCAGUAGUC